This 253-nucleotide ribosomal RNA is filed under the name uncultured bacterium. RNAcentral's name for it is "partial 16S ribosomal RNA". It matches the Rfam family "Bacterial small subunit ribosomal RNA", at positions 524 to 776 of the family's 1533-position model. The record is from RNAcentral.
UACAGAGGUGGCAAGCGUUGUUCGGAAUUACUGGGCGUAAAGGGCGCGUAGGCGGCCUCGUAAGUCCUGUGUGAAAUCCCCCGGCUCAACUGGGGAACUGCACAGGAAACUGCGAGGCUUGAGUUCGGGAGAGGGAAGCGGAAUUCCGGGUGUAGCGGUGAAAUGCGUAGAUAUCCGGAGGAACACCGGUGGCGAAGGCGGCUUCCUGGACCGACACUGACGCUGAGGCGCGAAAGCUAGGGGAGCAAACGGG